AGUCGGGCUUAGUGAUCCGGNGGUUCCGAGUGGAAGGGCCAUCGCUCAACGGAUAAAAGCUACCCCGGGGAUAACAGGCUUAUCUCCCCCAAGAGUCCACAUCGACGGGGAGGUUUGGCACCUCGAUGUCGGCUCGUCUCAUCCUGGGGCUGGAGUAGGUCCCAAGGGUUGGGCUGUUCGCCCAUUAAAGAGGCACGCGAGCUGGGUUCAGAACGUCGUGAGACAGUUCGGUCCCUAUCCGUCGCAGGCGUAGGAAAUUUGAGAGGAGCUGUCCUUAGUACGAGAGGACCGGGAUGGACGCACCUCUGGUGCACCAGUUGUCACGCCAGUGGCACAGCUGGGUAGCUAUGUGCGGAAUGGAUAAGCGCUGAAGGCAUCUAAGCGCGAAGCCAACCUCAAGAUAAGAUUUCCCACUUCAUAGAAGGUAAGAUCCCAGAAAGACUAUCUGGUUGAUAGGCCCAGGGUGUAAGUGCAGCAAUGCAUUCAGCUGAUGGGUACUAAUAGAUCGAGGACUUGACCAA
Molecule: non-coding RNA, 521 nt
Filed under: Peptoclostridium litorale DSM 5388
Lineage: Bacteria; Bacillati; Bacillota; Clostridia; Peptostreptococcales; Peptoclostridiaceae
Description: Bacterial large subunit ribosomal RNA
Rfam family: Bacterial large subunit ribosomal RNA
Source: Rfam by way of RNAcentral